GGAAACGGGUGGUAAUGCCGGAUGCUCCAGUUGAUCGCAUGGUCUUCUGGGAAAGCUUUCGCGGUAUGGGAUGGGGUCGCGUCCUAUCAGCUUGACGGCGGGGUAACGGCCCACCGUGGCUUCGACGGGUAGCCGGCCUGAGAGGGCGACCGGCCACAUUGGGACUGAGAUACGGCCCAGACUCCUACGGGAGGCAGCAGUGGGGAAUAUUGCACAAUGGGCGCAAGCCUGAUGCAGCGACGCCGCGUGAGGGAUGGAGGCCUUCGGGUUGUAAACCUCUUUUAUCGGGGAGCAAGCGAGAGUGAGUUUACCCGUUGAAUAAGCACCGGCUAACUACGUGCCAGCAGCCGCGGUAAUACGUAGGGUGCAAGCGUUAUCCGGAAUUAUUGGGCGUAAAGGGCUCGUAGGCGGUUCGUCGCGUCCGGUGUGAAAGUCCAUCGCUUAACGGUGGAUCCGCGCCGGGUACGGGCGGGCUUGAGUGCGGUAGGGGAGACUGGAAUUCCCGGUGUAACGGUGGAAUGUGUAGAUAUCGGAAAGAACACCA
RNAcentral lists this ribosomal RNA (544 nucleotides) under Bifidobacterium longum subsp. suillum. RNAcentral's name for it is "bacterial SSU rRNA". It matches the Rfam family "Bacterial small subunit ribosomal RNA", at positions 152 to 711 of the family's 1533-position model. Lineage: Bacteria; Bacillati; Actinomycetota; Actinomycetes; Bifidobacteriales; Bifidobacteriaceae. The record is from RNAcentral.